CGCCAUACGUUUCCAAGGCCCACCGCGUAUCCUACGGUCGCCAGGAGAAAUAAAACCCGGACUCCUUCCCUCGCGUGAGGGCCGAGACUGGCUUUUAUUCGGACGUACACGGUGUCCGCGUCACGAGAUAGGAGAGAACGUCCCGCGGAGGAUCAUCCCGAGCCGCUCGCGACUACGCCGCGAGGCCAGAGGACCGAGAGGAAGCGAAAUUACCCACCUGCCGGGGACCAAAGGGGGAAACGCGCGAGGACCUUGUCCGCGGUCGAGGAGCGGUUCGCCACUGGUGACACCCCCGUGUGUUGCGCUGGUGAUAGUAACUUUUGAAACCACGGAUAUAUCCAAGGGAAUCAAUAGCUGGCGCCGGCGCCUCGACGGCUCUCUCUCUCUUUCGCCCGCGACUCUCUCGUGGAACGAAACCGCGCGCGAGCCUUUCUCCAAGAGGAAGAAACACCGGGGGGUAGGGAGAGAGAGAACGAAAGACAGGCCAUGAUUUAUCACCAUUCUGAAACUUAACGCGUAAAUCGCAACAACAUUGUACACGAAGUAUAUAUAUAAAAUUUAAAAAAAAGUACGAACACAUGAGGGAAAAUUAGGAUAGGCGAUUGUUAAAAAUUGCACAACUUAAUUAAGAAAUUAAAACAUGAGAAUUAAUCCUGAUUACUUUAUAUCAAUAAUUAGUUACACUAUUCUUUAUGUAUAGUGAAAAAUAUUUAUUACAAAAGUAGGUCCUGUACAAAGAGGGAGAAUUAUAGUUUUAACUUGUCAAUGUACAUAAAAUUUUUUUAUUCACAUAA
Molecule: long non-coding RNA, 794 nt
Organism: Wasmannia auropunctata (little fire ant)
Lineage: Eukaryota; Metazoa; Arthropoda; Insecta; Hymenoptera; Formicidae
Exons: 2
Source: RefSeq, a predicted model, not a curated record